RNAcentral lists this ribosomal RNA (475 nucleotides) under uncultured Anaerolineaceae bacterium. RNAcentral describes it as "bacterial SSU rRNA". It matches the Rfam family "Bacterial small subunit ribosomal RNA", at positions 897 to 1382 of the family's 1533-position model. Lineage: Bacteria; Bacillati; Chloroflexota; Anaerolineae; Anaerolineales; Anaerolineaceae. The record is from RNAcentral.
AAACUUAAAGGAAUUGACGGGGACCCGCACAAGCAGCGGAGCGUGUUGGUUUAAUUCGUUGCUACACGAAGAACCUUUACCUGGGUUUUGACAUAUAAGUUGUAGGGAACUGAAAAGGGACCGACCCUUCGGGGAGCUUAUACAGGUGUUGCAUGGCUGUCGUCAGCUCGUGUCGUGAGAUGUUCGGUUAAGUCCGCUAACGAGCGCAACCCUCGCCGUAUGUUACAAGUGUCAUACGGGACUGCCGGUAAAAAGCCGGAGGAAGGUGAGGAUGAUGUCAAGUCAGCAUGACCUUUAUAUCCAGGGCUACACACACGCUACAAUGGUCUGUACAAUUGGUUGCCAAGCCGCGAGGCGGAGCCAAUCCGUAAAGCAGGCCUCAGUUCAGAUUGCAGUCUGCAACUCGACUGCAUGAAGCCGGAGUUGCUAGUAACCGCAGGUCAGCAAUACUGCGGUGAAUACGUUCCCGGGUCUU